Molecule: long non-coding RNA, 546 nt
Organism: Solanum lycopersicum (tomato)
Lineage: Eukaryota; Viridiplantae; Streptophyta; Magnoliopsida; Solanales; Solanaceae
Source: RefSeq, a predicted model, not a curated record
UCCAAACCAAAAAAAAUUCUGAUUGUUAAUCUUCUGAACUUCAUCCGUUAUCCAUGGUGACAAAGCAAUAAUUGUUAGAGCUUUGAUGAUUGAUUGAAAAAUAUAACCAUGGUGGUGGAGCUACCUACCACUGUCUUCUUCCACAAUAGAGUUGUCAGAGAAGAAACGAAGAGAUGAGGCAGUGAUGACGAUUUGUUAUACGUAUCAUCGGAGUGUCUCGAAAUUCGGAUUUGACUUCAUAAACUCUGCAGCCGAUGGCAUCUCACAACUGUGUGUAUGAAGCUCUAGCAUGAAUAUGUUGGACGGUUGAUUUCACUUCCAAUGAUGACAUCGGUCUACUAUAUUUAUUUUUGCAUUUAGGUGCAUAUCAGAGACAAGGAUGAAGAUUUAUCGAAGCUGUUUGGAUUGUUGAUCUCCAGAUUUUAGUAGGUCCUAUUGAUGUUCGAGGAUUAUACAUUAUUUAUCUAGCUUAGUACUUUAGACAUAGCUAGUGGAUGUUGUCCCUAGCGUUUCUUUUCAGACAUUUAUUUCGAAGAUUUGUAAUAA